This 345-nucleotide long non-coding RNA is filed under the name Androctonus crassicauda. Lineage: Eukaryota; Metazoa; Arthropoda; Arachnida; Scorpiones; Buthidae. The record is from RNAcentral.
UAGUAAUAGUCUUUUAUGCGAUCUCAUGCAUAACUUUCUCCUGUUAUUUGCGUUUUUCUUAAUAACUUAUUGCCAUGGUAUCGGCAGUUCUUUGGAGUCCCUGCUGUUUAUUAUGUUUUCAAAAGCUCUUUGUCUUUCGAUCUCCAGUGUCUCUCUUACUAGUCCUUGUUUCAUGUUAUCUGUGCGUUUUAGUAGUUUUGCCCAGUCCCACUGCAUUAUUAUUGUACCAAGAGUUUUUGACUUAUCAGAUUGACUAGCAUAAAUUAUUCAAAUAGUGUAUUUUUUUGUAACUGAGAGUGAACAACUGAAACAGUUAAAAAAUACUAUUUUUAUAAUGAAAUAUUU